RNAcentral lists this small RNA (192 nucleotides) under Crenobacter luteus. RNAcentral describes it as "Manganese sequence". It matches the Rfam family "Manganese Mn2+ riboswitch aptamer (yybP-ykoY)". From Rfam's summary of the family: This RNA was originally discovered in E. coli during a large scale screen and was named SraF. The family was later found to exist upstream of related families of protein genes in many bacteria, including the the yybP and ykoK genes in B. subtilis. The record is from RNAcentral. Lineage: Bacteria; Pseudomonadati; Pseudomonadota; Betaproteobacteria; Neisseriales; Neisseriaceae.
CGCGCUGUCUUGGGGGAGUAGCCGCCGCGCUUGAUUGACGCGGGCCCGCCGUCAACAGACUUGGCCAGCCGUCGCUGCGACGGCAUCCACGGCCAUGGCGCGGGCAACCUAUACGGUCUGGCAAGACUCAUGACUCUUCACCCUGUAGCGGGCCGCGCGGGGUGGACGAGUCAUGAACGUCGCGCGGCCCCU